Molecule: ribosomal RNA, 434 nt
Filed under: uncultured bacterium
Lineage: Bacteria
Description: partial 16S ribosomal RNA
Rfam family: Bacterial small subunit ribosomal RNA
Source: RNAcentral
AGCGAACGCUGGCGGCAGGCCUAACACAUGCAAGUCGAACGAACCUUUCGGGGUUAGUGGCGGACGGGUGAGUAACACGUGGGAACGUGCCUUUAGGUUCGGAAUAACUCAGGGAAACUUGUGCUAAUACCGAAUGUGCCCUUCGGGGGAAAGAUUUAUCGCCUUUAGAGCGGCCCGCGUCCGAUUAGCUAGUUGGUUGAGGUAAUGGCUCACCAAGGCGACGAUCAGUAGCUGGUCUGAGAGGAUGAUCAGCCACAUUGGGACUGAGACACGGCCCAAACUCCUACGGGAGGCAGCAGUGGGGAAUCUUGCGCAAUGGGCGAAAGCCUGACGCAGCCAUGCCGCGUGAAUGAUGAAGGUCUUAGGAUUGUAAAAUUCUUUCACCGGGGACGAUAAUGACGGUACCCGGAGAAGAAGCCCCGGCUAACUUCGUG